AUGAGUAACAUGCUUAGCCCGAUCAUGUGCUGGAACGUCCGCGGCCUAAACAACCCGGCGAAGCGAGCAUCGGUUUCUGAGAUGGCCACCACACACAAAGAGGCAAUCCUCUGCCUACAAGAAACUAAAAUUGAGGUCUGGACACCCAACCUAGUGCGUGAGAUAGGAGGUGCCCUGCUGCAAGACUGCAUAGCUCUGCCGGCGAUCGGCACCUGCGGCGGAGCGGCAAUUCUCUGGAACAGAGAU
Molecule: ribosomal RNA, 246 nt
Filed under: Triticum aestivum (bread wheat)
Lineage: Eukaryota; Viridiplantae; Streptophyta; Magnoliopsida; Poales; Poaceae
Description: partial small subunit ribosomal RNA
Source: RNAcentral